Perognathus longimembris pacificus (Pacific pocket mouse) is the source of this 5101-nucleotide long non-coding RNA. RefSeq lists it as uncharacterized. NCBI's taxonomy places the organism in Eukaryota, Metazoa, Chordata, Mammalia, Rodentia, Heteromyidae. The transcript is spliced from 3 exons. The record is from RefSeq and is a predicted model, not a curated record.
UUGAAGAAAGUUAGAAAGACAACAAAGAGAAGAAAAAUAAGUUUGAAAAGAAGAGCAACUGGGCAUGGUGGCUCACACCAAAGAUCUGGGCUACUUGGCAGAUCAGAGAUCGCGAGGAUAAUGUUAAAGCUGGCCUGAGCAAAAAGUUUAAGUGAAUUGUAUCUCAACCAAUAAAGGCUGGCCAUGGUGACAUAUGAAGAUCAUCCUAACUAUGUGGGAAGAAUAAAUAGGAGGCUCAUGGUACAAAUCCAACCUAAGCAUAGAAAGCUUAUCUGAAAAAUAACUAAAGUGAAAAGGACAGGGCGUAACUCAAGUAGUAAUGUCUGCCUAGCAAGCAAGCACAAGGCCAUGAUUUCAUCUUCCAGUUCUGCCAAGACAAAAGAAAUGAAGAAAAGCAAGAUCCCUAUUCCUUCUCUGGACAUAGACAUGACAUAACAACCAAACAAAAGAGACAUCCAGGCUGGAGCCAACCAAGUUUUAUUGCCAUAGACAAGAACAGCAUAAACUUUUCCAACAGAUAGAAUGUGAGGUUUUCUUCCUCAUCGAUCAUAAUCCACAGUAAACAAAUUCAAUACAUAGUACACAAAAAGGUUUUCAUUAAGCUGUUUCUAUAGUGAGAAGAAAUACAAUGACAAGAUUGUAAAACUAAAGGAUGUCCUCAGAUAUACCGGGCUGCACCAGUUAAAGGCAGCACUGGAAGCUUAUAUGCAAGAUACCUUUUUAGAAGGGGACCCUGAGGGCUUCUAGCCACAGCCAUCUCAGAGAGCCCCUCAUCCACACAGUACCAAUAAAGUCAAGUCAGUAAGGUGACUGAGAAGCCACAUUCUGGGCUGCAACAUACUAUCUGAUAAUUAAGUGAUUAAUUUUUUAGAUGCCAUCAUCUCGGAGUCUCGUUGCUACUGACUAAGCAGAAAUCAUAAUAAUAAAACUAGCUACUGUUGUUUGAAUUCCACCAGCACACACUCACCUAGAAGUCACUCAGGAGACUCCUUGUCACACUAAUAACAGGAUGGCAGUGCUGUUUCUUAGUCUGUAUACACACGAGGUUCUUCAGGAAGUAAGCUCAAUGGAUUCUGUCUUUAAUACCCUCCCAGGUCAAAUGCCUAGCAAUCAAUUUACUCUCAUGAAACCUGUCCCAUCAUUUUCUGUCUACUGAUUGCUUUGUCUGAAAGUAUAAAUAAAUGCAGUCAUUUCCAUGACAGGCUAACUUGAAACAAAGUUUUCAGCCCCACCUUUCUUCUUGCAAUGGCCAUCCAGUAUUCUCCAAAAUGUCUGAGAGGUGGAGUAAUGACAAAGAGAUGUAAGGCUCAUCUCCCCUCUCAACUGCCAUGGAAGCCCCAAAGACACCAAUAUUAUCAUCACUGCUUCUCAUUCCUCUUUAAUAGGGUCUGUACAUGUUAUGACCUCACACACUAUCUAUACUGAGAUGAUUCUUCAUACUCUACCAGGCUAGAGCUCUAUCCUGAUCUCUAGACUCCCAUUUAAAUGUUUAACAUUCUACAAACUUACCAAACCCACAUCCAAACUCUCUGCUUCCUUCCCAUCACCCACAAUUGUCCCUAUCUCAACUAAAUGUAGCACCCAUCCUGCCAAAUACACAAUCUAAACCUUAGACUAAUCUGAUAAACUAAACCUUAGACUCAUCCCCUAUAUCCAAUGUCCAACUAUUUAGAAAUCCUUCCAUGUAUGACCAUGUCAUCAUAUAGCCUACAUCUAAGUAUCUAACCCAAUUUUUAGUCACACAUAAGUAGAAAAACCAGAAAGAAGGCUACUGCAAUCAUGCCAUGCAUGGAGGUUUGGUCUUCCCAUUUUCAUUCCUUAUUUCCCUUCAAUCUGCUCCCCACACAGCACUAAGAAUUCUAUUAAAACUUAGAACCCAUCACUCUUCCACUCAAAUCUAUCCUCUCACUUUUCCUCUUCAUCCCAUCUUGUCUCUCCCAUGUUCCUGUUAGCCACUCUGGAUUCCUGGAGCUCCAAGUUUUAAAGUAUUCACUACUCUUCCUGUGGCGCUUUCUUCCCUACCAUAAUGACACUAACCACUCCCUCCUUCCUCUGGAGUAUGAGAUAAAAGAUGGUAGUUUUUUUUCUGAUCUGUUCUGCCUACUGUUCUAUCCCCAGGGCCUAGAAAAGUGGUUAGAACAAAACAUUUGCUUAAUAAACAGCUGAAUGGGUGAAAUUAGGUUCUCAGAGGCUUUUCUGUGUUGCACUUGAGAGUCACUUUUAGACACCACAAAGUGUGACUACCUACAAAUAUCUACAAAUUCUUCACUUAAAUGUAAGUACUAGAGGUUUUGCCCCACAUCAGAACAGUUUUAUUUCCUUGCCUUUUGAAUUUUAUCAUGCCUACCUGGAUGAAAAGACAAAACACAGUGAUGAUGAGAUACAUGGUCAACAGAGAGUUUGUUAGAAAUGCAUGUAUUAUGUAUUUAAAAGUUGAAAUUGUCCACGACAGUAGACCCUGUAUAUUAAGCCUAUUCUAAUUUCAACCAAAUGGACAUCCAAAUUCAAAAUUUUACUCAGGCACAGCUGUUUGACAAGUACAGCAGGAGCCUGUCAAGUCACUUGGCAGCGUCAUUCCUUUGGAACAUAAUAGAUUUUUUUGGCAUCUCCUAUUAUUCACUGAUGGUAAUUAGCGAACCAAUCUUUGGAGGAAAUACACAAUCGGGCAACUAAAAAGGCCUUUUAUGGAACUCGCAGAAAAUAAAUCAUUGACACUACAAAUGGUCAAUAUGUACUCUCAGAUUUGAACUAAAUUGCUCAUUGAUUCACCAAAAUCUAUUUUCCAGACCUUGUCAUCUAGGUAAAUUCUUUUUUUUUUUUGUUUUAUGAAGUCCUGAAUUCAAGUAAAGUGAUGGUGACACUUUCCUUGAUUUUGAUUUAGUACCUCAAUAGUGUCAGCAAUUAUAGUGAUUUCUCCAUUAUUUCCUUAGAUUAUCCAGCUCCUCCCCUGACUGGCUCCAUCAUAAAGGCCCCAUUGCCAUGGGCCCUUUUUGUGCCACAGGCACGAAACCACAUUCACAAUCUAAACAUGGAAUUCCAGAAAUACACAAUGGAAGAGGAACAGGCUGACCCAGACAGCCCAAGAAGCUGCUGUCCUCACAAGCAGUGGCUCAGUGCACUGGGCCAUUGAGGGAAAUGCUGGCUACAGAGGGGCAAACCCAGGAACAACAUCAACAAAUUCAAUUCCUGCCUUAGGAACACUGGCACAUACCACCUCAAUGUGGGAUUCCACCUGGGGCUUUCAGAAACAAACAGUGCCUGUCUUGAUGUCAUACUUUUACAACAACUAGGAUCCUUACCCAAACACCUUCAACAAGUUUCGACAAGUGCAGUUCAAUCAUUUGAGAUGGGCCAAAAGGUCAGGGCCCUGAAACUUUGUCAGCACGAUUAGCCAGUGGAAAAGCACCCCAUGCAUUUCAGAGUGCAGGUCGACUUUCUACUCCACAAAAGCAGCUUUGUUUCUGUAUAUGUGACACCUCUUAAUUAUAAUCAAUGAUUUUUUUUUGUUGUCAACUCUGAUAAGCUUGUUUACCUAGCUUCAUUUUCCUACAACACUUUAAACAUUUCUACGGAGGGUAAAUAUCAGCAGAACUUUGCGAUAGGCCUUGAACUAGGUCUGUGGUAUUGCAUAGUGUUUACAAUUUGUCAUCCUUGGGGGUAAUUUUGCAAGCUUAAAUACAGUAAAGGACAUAUUAUAAAGAACCAGGCAAUUUCAAUUUGUUUGAAUAUAAAAAAAUGGAUCAAAUGUGUCUAUAGAGGCACAUUGUCAUUUUUUCCUUGAGCAUGUGCCAGGUCAAGACCAAAAGCAAGCAUUCAGAGAACAGAAGAGUAUUUAUGAACACAUUGUGUGUAUCAAAUAAGCUACUUAAUGAACAGAUGGGGAAUAUUCUUUUUCAGAGUCCUAGUAAAAUAGACCUUCAUACCAGAUUUCUGUGCGCAAUGGUAGACCUCUGGGUGAUUCAUUUAACAACCUUGCCCUUGAUAGUGAGCAGCUCGCCCUUCAGGAUGAGUGCCUAUGAGACAUGAAGACAGGGAAUUGUGGGCCCCGAACAUGUCAUUUUUAGAGAAGGUGGAAAAAAGUGACUAAUCCACUUGAGAUAAGGAAAGUUUUCCCAUAAGUAGUGACUCUAUGGCAAUGGAAUCCUUGGAGAGUCAAUAAGAAAAAAAUGAUUAAGCUAAGAAAGAUUUAGUAAAUUGAAAAUCAAGCCCUGGGAGCCAGCACUGAUAAGGAAAAAGGAAAUGGUCUUGAACAGAACUACUGUGUUGAAAGCAGGGUUGCCACUCAAGAGAAAGCUGAAAGAUCGUGGCAGAAACAUUUCUUCUCUUCAGAGAGAGGAGAAAAUGUUUCAGGUCAGAAAUAAAAGGAGACAAUGCUAGUUUCCUGGGCAGACAUCACAUUCUGCACUCAAUACCUAAAGGUCCUCAUUGGUACACAGGAAGACCACAUUCCCCAGCUUCCAUGUAGAAAGUUGGGGUCAUAUGACAGUUCUGUUCAACAUCAUUGGAGAAGACGUGGUAUGUGUGAUUUCUGGACCUAGUGGACCUGGUUCUUCAAAUUUUCUCAAGAAUCUUUUUUUUCCAACCUUGGCUCAGAUUGCCAAAUUCCAACUGUGUAAGAAUUGAACAAGAAAUAAACCUUUACUAUCAAAGCCAUAAUAUAGCCCCAAUGAUUAUUCCACCUUAUAGUUCUCUUUUCUUUAGAAACAAGAAUAAGCUUGGUAGAUCAAGCUGGUCUCAAGCUCACAAUCUCACUACCUCAGCUUCCAAGCUCAGCUGAGACUAUAGACAUGAACCACUACAUUAAGCCCUUCAUCUCAUUCCUAGGCAGAGUGAUUUCAGGGACCUUAAAAAGCAAUGGAAAAUAUGUAUCAAUUUGCUUUCACAUCAGUAGAACAGAGGUUGCUUAACAAGGGUUGCUUAAGGGGAAAAAUUCAGUUUGGGAGAUUGUUAGUGGGAGCAAAGUAUUUAAGUCAAAUACGUGUUUUAUUUUUAAGAUUUUAUCCUAGAAGUUUACACAUUAGAACUAAUAAUGAAGUUCCAAGUAUCUAUCACCUAGCAUUGCGCGUGUGUGUGUGUGUGUGUGUGUGUGUGUGUGUGUGUG